CGGGUGAGUAACACGUAUGCAACCUGCCUGCCACAGCCGGAUAAUCGGGAGAAAUUCCGUCUAAUACGGCAUAAUGCAUCGACGGGACAUCCUGUUGGUGCCAAAGGUUGAUUCCGGUGGCGGAUGGGCAUGCGUCGCAUUAGUUAGUUGGCGGUGUAACGGACCACCAAGACGACGAUGCGUAGGGGUUCUGAGAGGAAGGUCCCCCACACUGGUACUGAGACACGGCCCAGACUCCUACGGGAGGCAGCAG
Molecule: ribosomal RNA, 253 nt
Filed under: uncultured bacterium
Lineage: Bacteria
Description: partial 16S ribosomal RNA
Rfam family: Bacterial small subunit ribosomal RNA
Source: RNAcentral